GUAUUACCUUUUAUUAAUAGGCACUGUUUCAAAGAGGAUCAAAUGAUUGCUUGUCCAAAUUCCAUGGGGUGUACUUAUUUUUUCACAAGCGUAUUUAACCCUUUCUAACCAUGAUGUACUUUGACCCCGUUCUUCCCCUCGUUAGUUUUACCACAACCUCAAAUGUUCAACUUCAGCGCAACGUCUGGAUCGCGCAUCGUGCCGUAGCUAAUCCCAACCGAGCCGAUAUUCAGCAUCACCUGCACAGCUGUGAGUCUGAGAUUGCUUUUAUACAAGUUUUAAGAAAUUAAUAUCAAUUUUUUUCCACAUAUGGCUAAAUAUUUUGUUUAUUUUUGAACGAGGCAUUACAGGGCAUUAAAGCCAAAAGGUCAAUGGAGAAAGAGUAAAAUGAAGGAGAUGCUGGUCAUUCACGUUGAGUUUUAGAAUCCAGCCUCAGGGUUUUCAAUACAUUACGGCCUUUAAUUCUGCACAUCAGCUCGCCUGCAGCGUGAGGAUACUGCUAGAAUACUGUUCAAAGAGGAUUUAACACGAUUCAGCUGGCAAACAAUUCAGUUUUUGUCCUUGAGUGUAAGCCUCGCCACUGACGGCGUCAGGAUUUUAAAAUCUGCGCCUGUGUGUAAAUACGGUCAAUGCCAAACCGGAAACACACACAAAACCUAUACGUUUUCCUUUGCUUGCUUUUUUUACCCAACAUUAAUAGCCUGAAGUAAUCGUGAGUGUAUGAGUAUAAAAUAUCACUAGAAUGAAAGAAAGUGCAAUAUGCAGUGUGUGUGUGUGUGUGUGUGUGUGUGGGGGGGGGGUGUUCAUGAGGUUGCAAUUACUAAAAUAAGGAAGAGGUUAUGAUUCCCGAGGUUGGGAUUACCGCGGAUAAGGUUCCCGAGGUUGGGAUUACCGCGGAUAAGGUUCCCGAGGUUGGGAUUACCGCGGUUACGGUUCCCGAGGUUGGGAUUACCGCGGUUAUGGUUCCCGAGGUUGGGAUUACCGCGGAUCAGGUUUCUGACAUUAAGGUUACUGGAAUAUGGUUUAGCGAUUAGUGGUUGCGUUCCUGGGAUUACCGAGAUAGCACUACAGAGGGUUACCAAGAUUAGGUUCAUUGAAAGUAGGCUCAGGGUUACCAUGCUUAAAGGCCAAGGUUAUUGAGGUUGGGUUUAGGUGUAGGAAAAGCAUUUUUAUUUUUAGUUCCUGUAAGAUACAAGUCAGUGGAAAUACUCCUCAAAACAGGAAACCUGUGUGUGUGUGUGUGUGUGUGUGAGAGAGAGAGAGAGAUUCAGACCGGUCUACCCCCGAGGAGGACGGGGCGGCUCCAGAAGAAUGAGAGUUAAGUAAUAAUUGGUUAUCAACCUGAUAACAGUGGUAUCUUAAUUUCACCCAUCACCAUACUCCGUUACAUAAUUAUCAACAGAAACCCUGCUGCGCGCAAGAAGCCUGGUGUUACUCAGUCUCACCAAGUCAGGCGA
Ictalurus punctatus (channel catfish) is the source of this 1457-nucleotide long non-coding RNA. The record is from Ensembl. NCBI's taxonomy places the organism in Eukaryota, Metazoa, Chordata, Actinopteri, Siluriformes, Ictaluridae.